CCUACGGGUGGCAGCAGUGGGGAAUAUUGCACAAUGGGGGAAACCCUGAUGCAGCGAAGCCGCGUGAGUGAAGAAGUAUUUCGGUAUGUAAAGCUCUAUCAGCAGGGAAGAAAAUGACGGUACCUGAUUAAGAAGCCCCGGCUAACUACGUGCCAGCAGCCGCGGUAAUACGUAGGGGGCAAGCGUUAUCCGGAUUUACUGGGUGUAAAGGGAGCGUAGACGGCAGCACAAGUCUGGAGUGAAAUGCCGGGGCUUAACCCCGGAACUGCUUUGUAAACUGUGAAGCUAGAGGGCAGGAGAGGUAAGCGGAAUUCGUGGUGUAGCGGUGAAAUGCGUAGAUAUUAGGAAGAACACCAAUUGCGAAGGCAGCUUACUGGACUGUAACUGACGUUGAGGCUCGAAAGUGUGGGUAGCAAACAGGAUUAGAUACCCUUGUAGUC
Molecule: ribosomal RNA, 440 nt
Filed under: uncultured bacterium
Lineage: Bacteria
Description: partial 16S ribosomal RNA
Rfam family: Bacterial small subunit ribosomal RNA
Source: RNAcentral